RNAcentral lists this ribosomal RNA (252 nucleotides) under uncultured bacterium. Its description in RNAcentral is "partial 16S ribosomal RNA". It matches the Rfam family "Bacterial small subunit ribosomal RNA", at positions 525 to 776 of the family's 1533-position model. The record is from RNAcentral.
ACAGAGGUGGCGAACGUUGUUCGGAUUUACUGGGCGUAAAGGGUCCGCAGGCGGUCCGGUGUGUCGGAUGUGAAAGCUCACAGCUCAACUGUGGAAUUGCAUUCGAAACUGCCGGACUAGAGUACUGGAGGGGAGAAGGGAACACUUGGUGUAGCGGUGAAAUGCGUAGAUAUCAAGUGGAACACCGGAGGCGAAGGCGCUUCUCUGGACAGAUACUGACGCUCAUGGACGAAAGCUAGGGUAGCGAAAGGG